Molecule: ribosomal RNA, 1213 nt
Filed under: Lobophora dimorpha
Lineage: Eukaryota; Phaeophyceae; Dictyotales; Dictyotaceae
Description: LSU rRNA
Rfam family: Eukaryotic large subunit ribosomal RNA
Source: RNAcentral
AGCGGAGGAAAAGAAACUAACCAGGAUUCCCUCAGUAACGGCGAGUGAAGCGGGAAGAGCUCAUGUUUGAAAUCCAGCUCCCUCGGGGGGCUGGAAUUGUAACCUAGAGGAGCGAGAUCGCCUGCCGGCAGGGCCGCGGCUAAGUCCGAUUUGAAAAGGGUACCAAGGAGGGUGGCAGUCCCGUUCAUGCCGCAGUCCGGCCGGCGUAUGGCCCGCUUCCAACGAGUCGAGUUGCUUGGGAUUGCAGCUCAAAGUGGGUGGUAAACUCCAUCCAAAGCUAAACACGUAUGGGAGACCGAUAGCGAACAAGUACCGUGAGGGAAAGAUGCAAAGAACUUUGAAAAGAGAGUCAAAGAGUGCCUGAAAUUGCUGAGAGGGAAGCGAAGGAAAUUAGUGUCAGUCGAGGGGAUCUCGUAUCGGGGUUAGCGGCCCUGUAUCUUCGUACGGGGCCCUCUCCCGUUAUCCCCCGGGGUGUCAGGGGCGGGGGCGUAGCCGGAGGCGGCGGCCCAGGGUAAAGGUGCUCCGAGGUAACAGCCGGACGAAUGCAAUGGUGAAAAUAUUAAGACGCGUCUCGGUCGCGGCCGUCCCUGACGAAAUGGUUUUCUUUACCCCGUCUUGAAACACGGACCAAGGAGUCUAACAUGGUCGCGAGUACGGGGGUGGCUGAAACCCCCGUGCGCAGUGAAAGUGAACGCAGGUGGCAGGGCGUUGGGCCUGCCCAUCGACCGACCACGGCACCACGGGGCCGAAGUUUGAGUGUGAGCGAGUUGUUGGGACCCGAAAGAUGGUGAACUAUGCCUGGGUAGGGCGAAGCCAGGGGAAACUCUGGUGGAGGCUCGUAGCGAUUCUGACGUGCAAAUCGAUCGUGGGAUUUGGGUAUAGGGGCGAAAGACUAAUCAAACCAUCUAGUAGCUGGUUCCCUCCGAAAUUUCCCUCAGGAAGCUGCAACCGAAUAAUGUGAGACCAGUUUUAUCAGGUAAAGCGAAUGAUUAGAGGCUGCGGGGGAGUAACUCCCUCGCCCUAUUCUCAAACUUUAAUGGGUAACCCCGGGGUCCUUAUUGGACCUUGACAUCAUUUUUUUAUGAUGCUCUCGGAUGGUUGAAGAUGGUGCUAUGGGCAGUCCGGGUAACUGGAUGGCAAUCCGGAUGACCGAACGCCUAUUAAAGCCCUCCUGCCCCUCCCUAACCCAAAAAGUUUGGUCAUUUGAAGCAGA